AAUGAACGUUGGCGGCGUGGAUUAGGCAUGCAAGUCGAACGAUAUCUGUAGCAAUACAGUGAAAGUGGCGAAAGGGAGAGUAAUACGUAGGUACCUGCCCUCGGGUCUGGGAUAGCUGCGGGAAACUGCAAUUAAUACCGGAUGACGUCUCUGGACCAAAGGUGUGAUUCCGCCAGAGGAUGGGCCUGCGUCCUAUCAGCUAGUUGGUGUGGUAAUGGCGCACCAAGGCUAAGACGGGUACGGGUGUGAGAGCAUCGCCCCC
Molecule: ribosomal RNA, 262 nt
Filed under: uncultured bacterium
Lineage: Bacteria
Description: partial 16S ribosomal RNA
Rfam family: Bacterial small subunit ribosomal RNA
Source: RNAcentral